Molecule: ribosomal RNA, 1089 nt
Filed under: Campylobacter jejuni
Lineage: Bacteria; Pseudomonadati; Campylobacterota; Epsilonproteobacteria; Campylobacterales; Campylobacteraceae
Description: partial 23S ribosomal RNA
Rfam family: Bacterial large subunit ribosomal RNA
Source: RNAcentral
UAGGGCGGGACACGAGGAAUCCUGUCUGAAUCCGGGUCGACCACGAUCCAACCCUAAAUACUAAUACCAGAUCGAUAGUGCACAAGUACCGUGAGGGAAAGGUGAAAAGAACUGAGGUGAUCAGAGUGAAAUAGAACCUGAAACCAUUUGCUUACAAUCAUUCAGAGCCCUAUGUAGGAAUACAGGGUGAUGGACUGCCUUUUGCAUAAUGAGCCUGCGAGUUGUGGUGUCUGGCAAGGUUAAGCAAACGCGAAGCCGUAGCGAAAGCGAGUCUGAAUAGGGCGCUUAGUCAGAUGCUGCAGACCCGAAACGAAGUGAUCUAUCCAUGAGCAAGUUGAAGCUAGUGUAAGAACUAGUGGAGGACUGAACCCAUAGGCGUUGAAAAGCCCCGGGAUGACUUGUGGAUAGGGGUGAAAGGCCAAUCAAACUUCGUGAUAGCUGGUUCUCUCCGAAAUAUAUUUAGGUAUAGCGUUGUGUCGUAAUAUAAGGGGGUAGAGCACUGAAUGGGCUAGGGCAUACACCAAUGUACCAAACCCUAUCAAACUCCGAAUACCUUAUAUGUAAUCACAGCAGUCAGGCGGCGAGUGAUAAAAUCCGUCGUCAAGAGGGAAACAACCCAGACUACCAGCUAAGGUCCCUAAAUCUUACUUAAGUGGAAAACGAUGUGAAGUUACUUAAACAACCAGGAGGUUGGCUUAGAAGCAGCCAUCCUUUAAAGAAAGCGUAAUAGCUCACUGGUCUAGUGAUUUUGCGCGGAAAAUAUAACGGGGCUAAAGUAAGUACCGAAGCUGUAGACUUAGUUUACUAAGUGGUAGGAGAGCGUUCUAUUUGCGUCGAAGGUAUACCGGUAAGGAGUGCUGGAGCGAAUAGAAGUGAGCAUGCAGGCAUGAGUAGCGAUAAUUAAUGUGAGAAUCAUUAACGCCGUAAACCCAAGGUUUCCUACGCGAUGCUCGUCAUCGUAGGGUUAGUCGGGUCCUAAGUCGAGUCCGAAAGGGGUAGACGAUGGCAAAUUGGUUAAUAUUCCAAUACCAACAUUAGUGUGCGAUGGAAGGACGCUUAGGGCUAAGGGGGCUAGCGGAUGGAAGUGCU